Molecule: long non-coding RNA, 575 nt
Filed under: Parus major (Great Tit)
Lineage: Eukaryota; Metazoa; Chordata; Aves; Passeriformes; Paridae
Description: lncRNA (ENSPMJG00000009727.1)
Source: RNAcentral
AGAAAAUUAGAAGGGAUCUUUACUUUGAGACACAAAACUCCUUGUACUGUACAACUUUCAAAGGAAAAAGUGGGAUCUCAACUUUCACAAAAUAGUAUGACUGUAAUUCAAAUAAUUUAAUAGCAAAUUACAAGUGCCUAGGGCAGGAUAUGGACCUCGAAGUACGAGAGCUAUAGUGGCAUUGGUAUGGUAAAUCAAUCAUAAACUGCUUCUUUUCCUAGGCUGCACCAUCAGUACCAUUUUUGUGCUGUUCACUACCAUCAGAGUCUUGGAUCCCACAAGAGGUUAACUUCAUUCAAGAUCUCAACCACCAAGAGGAACAUACCGAGAAGUGACCUCUUACCUGCUGAUGACCUCUAAAUCCACCAGAGACCCCCAGGGGAUGGUCGGUACAUGACUGAAAGCUACAAGCUCAGAUUCUAUUCACAUAUCUGCACUGAAUUAUGCACAGACAGCAAGCAGGCAUGGAUCUGGACAACAGAGCAGUCACAGAGGGCUGUUAGAAGACAAAAGGAUGAAGAACCUCAGAGACAAAUCUCUGGAGAUGGGAUAAUCAAGUGUGCUGCUGAGCAGGG